This 1292-nucleotide long non-coding RNA is filed under the name Androctonus crassicauda. The record is from RNAcentral. Lineage: Eukaryota; Metazoa; Arthropoda; Arachnida; Scorpiones; Buthidae.
AAACCGGCGGGGUACGUAAAUAUAUAUGACGACAAUAAUAAUAAUAAUAAUAAUAAUAAUAAUAAUAAAUGUGCAGUGGUUAAAAGAUUAACGACGACCACGACCGUAACGAAAUUUUUCCCGUCGUAAGUUUACCAUGGUUCGAUCCCGUUCCGUAAUUUUUUUCUACCUUUAUAGUGGCCGCAUGGAAACGCCGAAUCGAGACGAGAUAAUAUUAAAAAAACAUUUAUUUGUGUAGGAAUCGUGAGGAAACACUUUUAUAAAUCGUGUCCAAUCUACGGAACAAAAGAAAAAAAAAAGUUUUUAAAGAAAGAAAUUUUGUAUAUACGAGUGGUAGAACGGAUCCGUUUUUGCCAAUUUUUCAAUUAAUCAAAACGUUUUUGGUCGGUACGGAAAAUAAAUUAAUAAAAGACCAAGUGGUGGGGGUGGCUACGUCCUAGAAACCCAGAGUGGGUUUGGAGUGUCCGCGAGAAAAAACCCGAGGUUAAACUAAAUAAGAAUAAAAGAUAAGAAGGAAGAAAAAAUUAUUGUCCCCGCUUAUGUAAAACUGUAGAUGUAACCAUAUUUUGUGCACGAUCGUGUCAGUGUUGUAUGACUAUUUAAACGUAUAAAAAUAAAAAGGGUGCCAACGCACUAAUAAAUCGUCUGAUGUUUUGAUUGGCCGGAAGUGAACGGCGCCCGGUGAUUACCGCUAUUAAGGUUGGGGCCGCCCCACCCACCUUUCCUCCACACCGGAAACCCAGACCUAUCUAGGCCCGUUAAAAGAGGGGCCCCCAUUUUUCUUCCGGUAGCCGUCGGGCCAGGCUCUCCACCCAGGAGUCGUCCUACUCGGACUUUGCCCAUUUUUAAAUAUUUCGUAGCGGGGAAAAGCGGAGCGCGCCUAGUCCAUUCGACGGUAGGCUUUCCGAUAUUAAAUAUUUCUGGGCCGAGAGUCGAAUGGAGUUAAAAAUGGCGACGGAGAAUCCCAGGAAAAUUAAAGCGCUGAUAUAUAUUUACAUACCACGAAUAAUAAUAAAAUUUCUCUCAGGUUUCUGUUUGGAUUCGAGAUGGCUCGGCGCAGCUUUUUUCCCCGUGGCUAGCUCGGAGGAGCUUCUUUGGUCCGGAUUUGAAAUCUUAGAAGAUAAACAGUUCUCUUUUCACCCUCUAAUUUGGUUUUCGGUCCGAUAAAACGAAAUAUUCCGAGGACAUUUGUGGCGCCGCCAGCGGGGAACUGGUCUGGCUCCUCUUUCUCUUCUACAGAAAACGCCUAUUUACCUCCGGACGUUUUAACCUUCCAUCCUUCCUAUUUUCCG